CUUGGUAGUUUACAUGGAAGUAGUCGCAGAACUCCCUAACCUUUGGGAACAAACCACUGUUGCUUCGGCGGGAUCGUCCCGGGCGCGCCUCUGGGCGUGUCCCGGAUCCAAGGCGCCCGCCGAGGGUAUCAAGCUCUUGUCUUUAUAGCGGACUUCUGAGUAUAAAACAAAAAUAAAUUAAAACUUUCAGCAACGGAUCUCUUGGCUCUGGCAUCGAUGAAGAACGCAGCGAAAUGCGAUAAGUAAUGUGAAUUGCAGAAUUCAGUGAAUCAUCGAAUCUUUGAACGCACAUUGCGCCCACCAGUAUUCUGGUGGGCAUGCCUGUCCGAGCGUCAUUUCAACCCUCAGGCCCGGCCUGGUGUUAGGGAUUGGCUUCGCAGCCAGCCCCGAAAUGCAGUGGCGGCCCUCCGCAACUCCUCUGUGUAGUAGUGAUACCCGCAUUGGAUAGUGGUUGCGCCUCGCCGUAAAACCUCCAACUCUUCAAGGUUGACCUCGGAUCAGGUAGGAAUACCCGCUGAACUUAAGCAUAUCAAUAAGCCGGAGGAA
RNAcentral lists this ribosomal RNA (546 nucleotides) under uncultured Trichoderma. RNAcentral's name for it is "eukaryotic LSU rRNA". The stretch from base 182 to 335 matches the Rfam family "5.8S ribosomal RNA". The record is from RNAcentral. Lineage: Eukaryota; Fungi; Ascomycota; Sordariomycetes; Hypocreales; Hypocreaceae.